RNAcentral lists this ribosomal RNA (483 nucleotides) under uncultured bacterium. Its description in RNAcentral is "bacterial SSU rRNA". It matches the Rfam family "Bacterial small subunit ribosomal RNA", at positions 28 to 507 of the family's 1533-position model. The record is from RNAcentral.
GACGAACGCUGGCGGCGUGCCUAACACAUGCAAGUCGAGCGGAGUCGAUCGACGGAAGCCUUCGGGCGGAAGAUGGUUGACUUAGCGGCGGAUGGGUGAGUAACGCGUGGGCAACCUGCCUCGAAGACCGGGAUAACAGCCCGAAAGGGCUGCUAAUACCGGAUGUGGUCAAGGAUCCGCAUGGAUUUUUGAUUAAAGGGGAAACCCGUUUCGAGAUGGGCCCGCGUCCUAUCAGCUAGUUGGUGAGGUAAAAGCUCACCAAGGCGACGACGGGUAGCCGGCCUGAGAGGGUGACCGGCCACACUGGAACUGAGACACGGUCCAGACUCCUACGGGGGCAGCAGUGGGGAAUCUUCCACAAUGGGCGAAAAGCCUGAUGGAGCGACGCCGCGUGAGCGAAGAAGGCCUUCGGUUGUAAAGCUCUGUCUGGAGGGACGAAGGAAGUGACGGUACCUCCGGAGGAAGCCACGGCUAACUAACGUG